UACGUAGGCAGCGAGCGUUGUUCGGAGUUACUGGGCGUAAAGAGUGCGUAGGCGGUUUUCUAAGUUUGGUGUGAAAUCUCCCGGCUUAACUGGGAGGGUGCGCCGAAAACUGGAAGGCUUGAGUAUGGGAGAGGUAAGCGGAAUUCCUGGUGUAGCGGUGAAAUGCGUAGAUAUCGGGAGGAACACCAAUGGCGAAGGCAGCUCGCUGGGACGGUACUGACGCUGAGACGCGAAAGCGUGGGGAGCAAACAGG
RNAcentral lists this ribosomal RNA (253 nucleotides) under uncultured bacterium. RNAcentral describes it as "partial 16S ribosomal RNA". It matches the Rfam family "Bacterial small subunit ribosomal RNA", at positions 524 to 776 of the family's 1533-position model. The record is from RNAcentral.